GAUGAACGCUGGCGGCGUGCUUAACACAUGCAAGUCGAACGAAGCACUUUAUUUGAUUUCCUUCGGGACUGAUUAUUUUGUGACUGAGUGGCGGACGGGUGAGUAACGCGUGGGUAACCUGCCUUGUACAGGGGGAUAACAGUUGGAAACGGCUGCUAAUACCGCAUAAGCGCACGGCAUCGCAUGAUGCAGUGUGAAAACCUCCGGUGGUAUAAGAUGGACCCGCGUUGGAUUAGCUAGUUGGUGAGGUAACGGCCCACCAAGGCGACGAUCCAUAGCCGACCUGAGAGGGUGACCGGCCACAUUGGGACUGAGACACGGCCCAAACUCCUACGGGAGGCAGCAGUGGGGAAUAUUGCACAAUGGGCGAAAGCCUGAUGCAGCGACGCCGCGUGAGCGAAGAAGUAUUUCGGUAUGUAAAGCUCUAUCAGCAGGGAAGAUAAUGACGGUACCUGACUAAGAAGCACCGGCGAAAUACG
Molecule: ribosomal RNA, 479 nt
Filed under: uncultured bacterium
Lineage: Bacteria
Description: partial 16S ribosomal RNA
Rfam family: Bacterial small subunit ribosomal RNA
Source: RNAcentral